Molecule: ribosomal RNA, 253 nt
Filed under: uncultured bacterium
Lineage: Bacteria
Description: partial 16S ribosomal RNA
Rfam family: Bacterial small subunit ribosomal RNA
Source: RNAcentral
UACGUAGGUGGCAAGCGUUGUUCGGAAUUAUUGGGCGUAAAGAGCUCGUAGGCGGUUUGUCGCGUCUGCCGUGAAAGUCCGGGGCUCAACUCCGGAUCUGCGGUGGGUACGGGCAGACUAGAGUGAUGUAGGGGAGACUGGAAUUCCUGGUGUAGCGGUGAAAUGCGCAGAUAUCAGGAGGAACACCGAUGGCGAAGGCAGGUCUCUGGGCAUUAACUGACGCUGAGGAGCGAAAGCAUGGGGAGCGAACAGG